This 72-nucleotide transfer RNA is filed under the name Fukomys damarensis (Damara mole-rat). It matches the Rfam family "tRNA". From Rfam's summary of the family: Transfer RNA (tRNA) molecules are approximately 80 nucleotides in length. Their secondary structure includes four short double-helical elements and three loops (D, anti-codon, and T loops). The record is from Rfam by way of RNAcentral. Lineage: Eukaryota; Metazoa; Chordata; Mammalia; Rodentia; Bathyergidae.
GGGUACGUAGCUCAGUGGUAGAGCACCUGGCUAGCAUGCACAAGACCCUGGGUUUGAUCCCCAGCACACCCA